This 322-nucleotide long non-coding RNA is filed under the name Canis lupus familiaris (dog). RNAcentral's name for it is "lncRNA (ENSCAFG00000055345.1, ENSCAFG00805028592.1, ENSCAFG00845029579.1)". Lineage: Eukaryota; Metazoa; Chordata; Mammalia; Carnivora; Canidae. The record is from RNAcentral.
UGGAGCCUCCUUGCCAAACUCCAGCUUCUGCCAGAACAAACACACCCAACCAAAAUGGUUUAAAGACCUUAGCAUUCUGAGAAUCUGAAGCAGCCAGAGGGGCUCUUUGUACACCCCGAGCAGAGGCAACAGAGCACCAGCUUGAAGGUGGAAAGCCUGGGGCCUUAUGUGAAACUCAGCCAGCUGUGGAACCUCCCCGGACCUCCCCUGUAACACAGAGCCACUAACUGCCUCAGCUGGACCAUGGCUUUACCGGGAAGAGUCUGGGCCACGGAGGAAAAUAGGACUGGUGGUGGUGUGCCGUGGUGGUGAUGAGUGACAC